RNAcentral lists this long non-coding RNA (510 nucleotides) under Prunus dulcis (almond). RNAcentral describes it as "sRNA ncRNA". Lineage: Eukaryota; Viridiplantae; Streptophyta; Magnoliopsida; Rosales; Rosaceae. The record is from RNAcentral.
AUGGGGUUUAGCAACCUUUCUCUAUCCAUAUGCUCCAUUGCAUUACUCUUAGCUGCUCAAGUCUCCCUAGCCCGAAAAGUCGGUUAUGCUCCGAACCCCUCAAACCCCCACCAAGACUUCGUCGACGAACACAACAGAGCUCGAGCAGCAGUCGGCGUCGGUCCAAUCCGAUGGAACGACACUGUAGCAGCCUACGCUCAGAACUAUGCCAACACAAGAAUCAGAGGGUGUGACAUGGAGCACUCGGGAGGGCCUUACGGCGAAAACUUGGCGGAAGGCUAUGGAGAAAUGACGGGCGCUCAGGCCGUGAAGUUUUGGGUGACUGAGAGACCAAACUACGACUACGGCUCCAACAAAUGUGUUGGGGAUGAAUGUGGGCAUUAUACUCAGGUGGUUUGGCGGAACUCGGUUCAUCUUGGUUGUGCUAGGGCAAAGUGUGACAACAAUUGGGUUUUUGUCAUUUGCAGCUACGAUCCUCCUGGUAACUAUGAGGGCGAGCGUCCCUACUAG